RNAcentral lists this ribosomal RNA (460 nucleotides) under uncultured bacterium. RNAcentral's name for it is "partial 16S ribosomal RNA". It matches the Rfam family "Bacterial small subunit ribosomal RNA", at positions 338 to 795 of the family's 1533-position model. The record is from RNAcentral.
CCUACGGGGGGCAGCAGUGAGGAAUAUUGGUCAAUGGACGAGAGUCUGAACCAGCCAAGUAGCGUGAAGGAUGACUGCCCUAUGGGUUGUAAACUUCUUUUAUAUGGGAAUAAAAUGUUCCACGUGUGGGAUUUUGUAUGUACCAUAUGAAUAAGGAUCGGCUAACUCCGUGCCAGCAGCCGCUGUAAUACGGAGGAUCCGAGCGUUAUCCGGAUUUAUUGGGUUUAAAGGGAGCGUAGGUGGAUUGUUAAGUCAGUUGUGAAAGUUUGCGGCUCAACCGUAAAAUUGCAGUUGAAACUGGCAGUCUUGAGUACAGUAGAGGUGGGCGGAAUUCGUGGUGUAGCGGUGAAAUGCUUAGAUAUCACGAAGAACUCCGAUUGCGAAGGCAGUUCACUGGACUGCAACUGACACUGAGGCUCGAAAGUGUGGGUAUCAAACAGGAUUAGAUACCCUAGUAGUC